RNAcentral lists this ribosomal RNA (262 nucleotides) under uncultured bacterium. RNAcentral describes it as "partial 16S ribosomal RNA". It matches the Rfam family "Bacterial small subunit ribosomal RNA", at positions 793 to 1055 of the family's 1533-position model. The record is from RNAcentral.
GUCCACGCCGUAAACGUUGGGCACUAGGUGUGGGUCUCUAACCAACGAGAUCCGCGCCGUCGCUAACGCAUUAAGUGCCCCGCCUGGGGAGUACGGUCGCAAGACUAAAACUCAAAGGAAUUGACGGGGGCCCGCACAAGCAGCGGAGCGUGUUGCUUAAUUCGAUGCUACGCGAAGAACCUUACCUAGGUUAAAUCAUUGGGAAAAGCCACAGAGAUGUGGUGUCCUUCGGGGCUCAAUGAAGGUGGUGCAUGGCUGUCGU